UCGCUUUUAGUUCAGUGGUCGAGCGUUGGCUUGAAGCCACAGGUCGGUGGUUCGAACCCACCAGGGCACA
This 70-nucleotide transfer RNA is filed under the name Phytophthora infestans T30-4. It matches the Rfam family "tRNA". From Rfam's summary of the family: Transfer RNA (tRNA) molecules are approximately 80 nucleotides in length. Their secondary structure includes four short double-helical elements and three loops (D, anti-codon, and T loops). Further hydrogen bonds mediate the characteristic L-shaped molecular structure. tRNAs have two regions of fundamental functional importance: the anti-codon, which is responsible for specific mRNA codon recognition, and the 3' end, to which the tRNAs corresponding amino acid is attached (by aminoacyl-tRNA synthetases). tRNAs cope with the degeneracy of the genetic code in two manners: having more than one tRNA (with a specific anti-codon) for a particular amino acid; and 'wobble' base-pairing, i.e. permitting non-standard base-pairing at the 3rd anti-codon position. Lineage: Eukaryota; Oomycota; Peronosporomycetes; Peronosporales; Peronosporaceae. The record is from Rfam by way of RNAcentral.